Molecule: small RNA, 166 nt
Filed under: Clostridium sp.
Lineage: Bacteria; Bacillati; Bacillota; Clostridia; Eubacteriales; Clostridiaceae
Also listed under: 1 other name
Description: Magnesium sequence
Rfam family: M-box riboswitch aptamer (ykoK leader)
About the family: M-box riboswitch, also know as ykoK leader is described as a metaloregulatory RNA that sense divalent metals and function as a genetic control element of genes related to divalent metal transport in bacteria. It was first reported upstream of the B.subtilis ykoK gene and genes with related functions in other bacteria.
Source: RNAcentral
AUAGUAUAUUGUUAGGUGAGGCUCCUAUAUUAGAUAUAUGCUACUGCCCAAAAAUAUCGAAAGAUGCCAAUGGGUCAACAGGUACUGCCGAAUUAAGGUUUUACUUAAUGUAGCUGGAACUAUUCCAAAGCUGUAUAGUGCUAAAGCUCAACGAAGGAUAUAGUUU